This 383-nucleotide unclassified non-coding RNA is filed under the name Hevea brasiliensis (rubber tree). The record is from RNAcentral. Lineage: Eukaryota; Viridiplantae; Streptophyta; Magnoliopsida; Malpighiales; Euphorbiaceae.
AGUUUUCUGUUGAAAGAAAGGAUGCAUCUGAAAAAGGAAUUAGCAACUUUAAAUGCCAUAUUUAAGGAACAAAUGGCAAGGAAUGAGAAUUUGAAGAGAAUAAAGCUUGAUUUGAAUUUGCAAUGUGCAAAGGAUUCAAGGUUAAUGUCUGGUGUGCUUGAGAAAGCAAUUUGCAGCCAGCCCCAGCAGAGAGAACCCUCUUCUCCCAGCCACAUUAGUUCAUUGUUGCCUAUGCAUGUUCCAGGUGAUAAUACCAAGUUGGAUUCUAGUGAAACACAAGGCGCAAUUUCAAACCAUGAUAGAUCCUUCCUGCUACCUGAUUUAAACAUGAUGCCAUCUGAGGAUCCUCACACUGAAACUCUACCUGGAAUGAGAUGACAAAA